GAACCAAAUGCUUGCAUUUGGUGGAUGAGUGGCGAACGGGUGAGUAACACGUGGGUGAUCUGCCCUACACUUUGGGAUAAGCCUGGGAAACUGGGUCUAAUACCGAAUAUUCACAUCAUCGUAGGGGUGGUGUGGAAAGCUUUAUGCGGUGUGGGAUGAGCCUGCGGCCUAUCAGCUUGUUGGUGGGGUAAUGGCCUACCAAGGCGUCGACGGGUAGCCGGCCUGAGAGGGUGUACGGCCACAUUGGGACUGAGACACGGCCCAGACUCCUACGGGAGGCAGCAGUGGGGAAUAUUGCACAAUGGGCGCAAGCCUGAUGCAGCGACGCCGCGUGGGGGAUGACGGCCUUCGGGUUGUAAACUCCUUUCGCUAGGGACGAAGCCUUUUAGGUGACGGUACCUGGAGAAGAAGCACCGGCUAACUACGUGCCAGCAGCCGCGGUAAUACGUAGGGUGCGAGCGUUGUCCGGAAUUACUGGGCGUAAAGAGCUCGUAGGUGGUUUGUCGCGUCCUCUGUGAAAUCCCGGGGCUUAACUUCGGGCGUGCAGGCGAUACGGGCAUAACUUGAGUGCUGUAGGGGAGACUGGAAUUCCUGGUGUAGCGGUGAAAUGCGCAGAUAUCAGGAGGAACACCAAUGGCGAAGGCAGGUCUCUGGGCAGUAACUGACGCUGAGGAGCGAAAGCAUGUGUAGCGAACAAGAUUAUAUACCCUGGUAGUCCAUGCCGUAAACGGUGGGCGCUAGGUGUAGGGGUCUUCCACGACUUCUGUGCCGCAGCUAACGCAUUAAGCGCCCCGCCUGGG
Molecule: ribosomal RNA, 800 nt
Filed under: Corynebacterium glutamicum
Lineage: Bacteria; Bacillati; Actinomycetota; Actinomycetes; Mycobacteriales; Corynebacteriaceae
Description: bacterial SSU rRNA
Rfam family: Bacterial small subunit ribosomal RNA
Source: RNAcentral